UGCUGCAGCUUUUGAUCGCUUUGCUGCGGGAGCGACGGAGAGGAAGAGCUACGCUCCUAAACGGGCGGAGAGGAGACCUCCAGCUGCCGAGAUCCCGAACAUACCUUCUCGCCAACCAGCCAUAGUUGGACAGAAACUGCCUCUUUAAAAACUCAAGUAGAUAGGAUGCGAUCCUGUCCUGGUUCAACCUUGGAUAAAGCGAAGUAGUGGCUGAUUCAAGCAGUCCCUGCAGAGGACAACUGAAUCCAGUAGAGCCACCCAUAUGCCAUCUUGAUGUCUCC
Molecule: long non-coding RNA, 281 nt
Organism: Eublepharis macularius
Lineage: Eukaryota; Metazoa; Chordata; Lepidosauria; Squamata; Eublepharidae
Exons: 3
Source: RefSeq, a predicted model, not a curated record